Molecule: ribosomal RNA, 3069 nt
Filed under: Campylobacter jejuni
Lineage: Bacteria; Pseudomonadati; Campylobacterota; Epsilonproteobacteria; Campylobacterales; Campylobacteraceae
Description: 23S ribosomal RNA
Rfam family: Bacterial large subunit ribosomal RNA
Source: RNAcentral
AAAAAAGGUAAGCUACUAAGAGCGAAUGGUGGAUGCCUUGACUGGUAAAGGCGAUGAAGGACGUACUAGACUGCGAUAAGCUACGGGGAGCUGUCAAGAAGCUUUGAUCCGUAGAUUUCCGAAUGGGGCAACCCAAUGUAUAGAGAUAUACAUUACCUAUAUAGGAGCGAACGAGGGGAAUUGAAACAUCUUAGUACCCUCAGGAAAAGAAAUCAAUAGAGAUUGCGUCAGUAGCGGCGAGCGAAAGCGCAAGAGGGCAAACCCAGUGCUUGCACUGGGGGUUGUAGGACUGCAAUGUGCAAGAGGUAAGUUUAGCAGAACAUUCUGGAAAGUAUAACCAUAGAGGGUGAUAGUCCCGUAUGCGAAAAACAAACCUUAGCUAGCAGUAUCCUGAGUAGGGCGGGACACGAGGAAUCCUGUCUGAAUCCGGGUCGACCACGAUCCAACCCUAAAUACUAAUACCAGAUCGAUAGUGCACAAGUACCGUGAGGGAAAGGUGAAAAGAACUGAGGUGAUCAGAGUGAAAUAGAACCUGAAACCAUUUGCUUACAAUCAUUCAGAGCCCUAUGUAGCAAUACAGGGUGAUGGACUGCCUUUUGCAUAAUGAGCCUGCGAGUUGUGGUGUCUGGCAAGGUUAAGCAAACGCGAAGCCGUAGCGAAAGCGAGUCUGAAUAGGGCGCUUAGUCAGAUGCUGCAGACCCGAAACGAAGUGAUCUAUCCAUGAGCAAGUUGAAGCUAGUGUAAGAACUAGUGGAGGACUGAACCCAUAGGCGUUGAAAAGCCCCGGGAUGACUUGUGGAUAGGGGUGAAAGGCCAAUCAAACUUCGUGAUAGCUGGUUCUCUCCGAAAUAUAUUUAGGUAUAGCGUUGUGUCGUAAUAUAAGGGGGUAGAGCACUGAAUGGGCUAGGGCAUACACCAAUGUACCAAACCCUAUCAAACUCCGAAUACCUUAUAUGUAAUCACAGCAGUCAGGCGGCGAGUGAUAAAAUCCGUCGUCAAGAGGGAAACAACCCAGACUACCAGCUAAGGUCCCUAAAUCUUACUUAAGUGGAAAACGAUGUGAAGUUACUUAAACAACCAGGAGGUUGGCUUAGAAGCAGCCAUCCUUUAAAGAAAGCGUAAUAGCUCACUGGUCUAGUGAUUUUGCGCGGAAAAUAUAACGGGGCUAAAGUAAGUACCGAAGCUGUAGACUUGCACACAACUUAGAUUAUUUAAGUUUAGAAUAUGAGAAACUAAGUUAUGUUUAGUUAUAUUUUUACUGAUUUUUAUAGAGUAAAGAUAGAAAUAAAACUUAGUAAAAUCAGUAAAAAUAUUCUUAGGCUAAAGUUAAGUAGUUUAAGUUGUGUGCAAGUGGUAGGAGAGCGUUCUAUUUGCGUCGAAGGUAUACCGGUAAGGAGUGCUGGAGCGAAUAGAAGUGAGCAUGCAGGCAUGAGUAGCGAUAAUUAAUGUGAGAAUCAUUAACGCCGUAAACCCAAGGUUUCCUACGCGAUGCUCGUCAUCGUAGGGUUAGUCGGGUCCUAAGUCGAGUCCGAAAGGGGUAGACGAUGGCAAAUUGGUUAAUAUUCCAAUACCAACAUUAGUGUGCGAUGGAAGGACGCUUAGGGCUAAGGGGGCUAGCGGAUGGAAGUGCUAGUCUAAGGUCGUAGGAGGUUAUACAGGCAAAUCCGUAUAACAAUACUCCGAGAACUGAAAGGCUUUUUGAAGUCUUCGGAUGGAUAGAAGAACCCCUGAUGCCGUCGAGCCAAGAAAAGUUUCUAAGUUUAGCUAAUGUUGCCCGUACCGUAAACCGACACAGGUGGGUGGGAUGAGUAUUCUAAGGCGCGUGGAAGAACUCUCUUUAAGGAACUCUGCAAAAUAGCACCGUAUCUUCGGUAUAAGGUGUGGUUAGCUUUGUAUUAGGAUUUACUCCGAAAGCAAGGAAACUUACAACAAAGAGUCCCUCCCGACUGUUUACCAAAAACACAGCACUCUGCUAACUCGUAAGAGGAUGUAUAGGGUGUGACGCCUGCCCGGUGCUCGAAGGUUAAUUGAUGGGGUUAGCAUUAGCGAAGCUCUUGAUCGAAGCCCGAGUAAACGGCGGCCGUAACUAUAACGGUCCUAAGGUAGCGAAAUUCCUUGUCGGUUAAAUACCGACCUGCAUGAAUGGCGUAACGAGAUGGGAGCUGUCUCAAAGAGGGAUCCAGUGAAAUUGUAGUGGAGGUGAAAAUUCCUCCUACCCGCGGCAAGACGGAAAGACCCCGUGGACCUUUACUACAGCUUGACACUGCUACUUGGAUAAGAAUGUGCAGGAUAGGUGGGAGGCUUUGAGUAUAUGACGCCAGUUGUAUAUGAGCCAUUGUUGAGAUACCACUCUUUCUUAUUUGGGUAGCUAACCAGCUUGAGUUAUCCUCAAGUGGGACAAUGUCUGGUGGGUAGUUUGACUGGGGCGGUCGCCUCCCAAAUAAUAACGGAGGCUUACAAAGGUUGGCUCAGAACGGUUGGAAAUCGUUCGUAGAGUAUAAAGGUAUAAGCCAGCUUAACUGCAAGACAUACAAGUCAAGCAGAGACGAAAGUCGGUCUUAGUGAUCCGGUGGUUCUGUGUGGAAGGGCCAUCGCUCAAAGGAUAAAAGGUACCCCGGGGAUAACAGGCUGAUCUCCCCCAAGAGCUCACAUCGACGGGGAGGUUUGGCACCUCGAUGUCGGCUCAUCGCAUCCUGGGGCUGGAGCAGGUCCCAAGGGUAUGGCUGUUCGCCAUUUAAAGCGGUACGCGAGCUGGGUUCAGAACGUCGUGAGACAGUUCGGUCCCUAUCUGCCGUGGGCGUAAGAAGAUUGAAGAGAUUUGACCCUAGUACGAGAGGACCGGGUUGAACAAACCACUGGUGUAGCUGUUGUUCUGCCAAGAGCAUCGCAGCGUAGCUAAGUUUGGAAAGGAUAAACGCUGAAAGCAUCUAAGCGUGAAGCCAACUCUAAGAUGAAUCUUCUCUAAGCUCUCUAGAAGACUACUAGUUUGAUAGGCUGGGUGUGUAAUGGAUGAAAGUCCUUUAGCUGACCAGUACUAAUAGAGCGUUUGGCUUAUCUUUAAUAAAGCAU